Molecule: ribosomal RNA, 404 nt
Filed under: uncultured bacterium
Lineage: Bacteria
Description: bacterial SSU rRNA
Rfam family: Bacterial small subunit ribosomal RNA
Source: RNAcentral
UGGGGAAUCUUGCGCAAUGGGCGAAAGCCUGACGCAGCCAUGCCGCGUGAAUGAUGAAGGUCUUAGGAUUGUAAAAUUCUUUCACCGGGGACGAUAAUGACGGUACCCGGAGAAGAAGCCCCGGCUAACUUCGUGCCAGCAGCCGCGGUAAUACGAAGGGGGCUAGCGUUGCUCGGAAUUACUGGGCGUAAAGGGAGCGUAGGCGGACAUUUAAGUCAGGGGUGAAAUCCCAGAGCUCAACUCUGGAACUGCCUUUGAUACUGGGUGUCUUGAGUGUGAUAGAGGUAAGUGGAACUCCGAGUGUAGAGGUGAAAUUCGUAGAUAUUCGGAAGAACACCAGUGGCGAAGGCGACUUACUGGAUCAUUACUGACGCUGAGGCUCGAAAGCGUGGGGAGCAAACAGG